GAUGAACGCUGGCGGCGUGCUUAACACAUGCAAGUCGAACGAAGAUGCCGGAGUGCUUGCACUUUGGCAGACUGAGUGGCGGACGGGUGAGUAACGCGUGGGUAACCUGCCUUAUACAGGGGGAUAACAGUUGGAAACGACUGCUAAUACCGCAUAAGCGCACGGGUCGGCAUCGACCAGAGGGAAAAGGAGUAAUCCGCUUUGAGAUGGCCUCGCGUCCGAUUAGCUAGUUGGUGAGGUAAUGGCCCACCAAGGCGACGAUCGGUAGCCGGACUGAGAGGUUGAACGGCCACAUUGGGACUGAGACACGGCCCAGACUCCUACGGGAGGCAGCAGUGGGGAAUAUUGCACAAUGGGGGAAACCCUGAUGCAGCGACGCCGCGUGAGCGAAGAGUAUUUCGGUAUGUAAAGCUCUAUCAGCAGGGAAGAAAAUGACGGUACCUGACUAAGAAGCACCGGCUAAAUACGUG
RNAcentral lists this ribosomal RNA (470 nucleotides) under uncultured bacterium. Its description in RNAcentral is "bacterial SSU rRNA". It matches the Rfam family "Bacterial small subunit ribosomal RNA", at positions 28 to 507 of the family's 1533-position model. The record is from RNAcentral.